GCCUCGGUGGCUCAGCCGGCAGAGCGCGUGCUUGGUAAGCACGAGGCCGCGGGUUCAAAUCCCGCCCGAGGCU
Molecule: transfer RNA, 73 nt
Rfam family: tRNA
About the family: Transfer RNA (tRNA) molecules are approximately 80 nucleotides in length. Their secondary structure includes four short double-helical elements and three loops (D, anti-codon, and T loops).
Source: Rfam